Cervus hanglu yarkandensis (Yarkand deer) is the source of this 104-nucleotide small nuclear RNA. NCBI's taxonomy places the organism in Eukaryota, Metazoa, Chordata, Mammalia, Artiodactyla, Cervidae. The record is from Ensembl.
GUGCUCACUUUGGCAGCACAUAUACUAAAAUUGGAAUGAUACUGAGAUUAGCAUGGCCCCUGCGCAAGGGUGACAGGCAAAUUCAUGAAGCGUUCCAUUAAAAA